Molecule: non-coding RNA, 73 nt
Organism: Verrucomicrobia bacterium 13_2_20CM_2_54_15_9cls
Lineage: Bacteria; Pseudomonadati; Verrucomicrobiota
Source: Rfam
ACGCCAGUAGCUCAAUUGGUAGAGUAGCGGUCUCCAAAACCGCCUGUUGGGGGUUCGAGUCCCUCCUGGCGUG